CUCUGGGCAUCUACUGACGCUGAGGAGCGAAAGCAUGGGAGCGAACAGGAUUAGAUACCUGGUAGUCAUGCCGUAAACGUGGGCACUAGGUGUGGGGAACAUUCACGUUUUCCGCGCCGUAGCUAACGCAUUAAGUGCCCCGCCUGGGGAGUACGGCCGCAAGGCUAAAACUCAAAGGAAUUGACGGGGGCCCGCACAAGCGGCGGAGCAUGCGGAUUAAUUCGAUGCAACGCGAAGAACCUUACCAAGGCUUGACAUGUUCCAGACCGCCUCAGAGAUGGGGUUUCCCUUCGGGGCUGGUUCACAGGUGGUGCAUGGUUGUCGUCAGCUCGUGUCGUGAGAUGUUGGGUUAAGUCCCGCAACGAGCGCAACCCUCGUUCCAUGUUGCCAGCACGUAAAGGUGGGGACUCAUGGGAGACUGCCGGGGUCAACUCGGAGGAAGGUGGGGAUGACGUCAAAUCAUCAUGCCCCUUAUGUCUUGGGCUUCACGCAUGCUACAAUGGCCGGUACAAUGGGUUGCGAUACUGUGAGGUGGAGCUAAUCCCUAAAAGCCGGUCUCAGUUCGGAUUGGGGUCUGCAACUCGACCCCAUGAAGUCGGAGUCGCUAGUAAUCGCAGAUCAGCAACGCUGCGGUGAAUACGUUCCCGGGCCUUGUACACACCGCCCGUCAAGUCACGAAAGUUGGKUACRCCCGAAGCCGAUGGCCUAACCACCUUGKGYGGAGGKAGUCGUCGAACGGUGGGAUC
RNAcentral lists this ribosomal RNA (746 nucleotides) under Arthrobacter sp. RNAcentral describes it as "bacterial SSU rRNA". It matches the Rfam family "Bacterial small subunit ribosomal RNA", at positions 727 to 1469 of the family's 1533-position model. Lineage: Bacteria; Bacillati; Actinomycetota; Actinomycetes; Micrococcales; Micrococcaceae. The record is from RNAcentral.